UUUUUUUUUUCUUCCAGCAGUUUAACUAUGAUGGGUCUUGGUAUGGAUCUCUUUGUAUUUAUCCUACUUGCAGUUCAUUGAGCUUCUCAGAUCUAGAAACGAAUGUCUUUCAUAAAAUUGGGCUCGUGGCUGAUGUAUCUCCUGACAGCCAUCCCUGGGCAGUGACUGUUCAGUAAGGGAGGAGGGAGCCCAGAAGAAGGAGAAGACGGCCUCAGACUGGAGGCUGCCCAGGUCAGCCCUCCGCCCUUCCUGACGUCCUCAGCAUCCAUCCAGGGUCUGAGGGCCCCCAGAACAUCUUUGAUCAAUGUUUGACAAAUCCAUAGAAUCUUCUGGAGAACUCAA
Long non-coding RNA from Lagenorhynchus albirostris (white-beaked dolphin), 342 nucleotides. RefSeq lists it as uncharacterized. The record is from RefSeq and is a predicted model, not a curated record. Lineage: Eukaryota; Metazoa; Chordata; Mammalia; Artiodactyla; Delphinidae. The transcript has 2 exons.